GCUAGUGGGAGAGAAAGAUGUGACCAACUCUGACUGUGAACUGCACACAGAAAUAACACUUCACUUGCAGACCAAGCAUUUAAUUGUUGUUUAAAGACCCUUCAAAUAGCUUUCUACUGUGUGUCAUCAGUAGCAGCAUAGGAAGCUACAUUGGAUGUAUUUAAAUGAUUUGAAGACGAGACACCUUAUGAUCUUAAAAAAUCAAGAAACUGGUUUCAAAUCAUCAUCAUCACUUCCAGCAGUGACAUCAUAGCUAAGUAUUUUGUGUGUUUACAUAUAUUAUGGUCCAGAAUCCCAGUGAAUGAAGAUGUGAAAAAUGAAUUCUAGAAAGAUGAAACAUGACAAGACUUUAAAAGAAUGUUUUAAAAGACAGAGAAAUCGCUAGCCUAAUUGGUAGGUAACUUGAUAUAAAGUUAACUUCUUCACUUCAGGUCUCAAGAAUGUGCACCAAAGUGAGUCCCAGAGGUUGCUAUGGCAAUGGAGGUAAACCUGAUUAGGUUAGAACGUGCCUGAAGGUCCCUGUAACAGCAGCCACACAAGAGAAAAGCAUGAGCCCAGGCGAACCUGCUGCUUCAACUGCUCCCUCAAUCCCGCCCUCUUCAAUUGAGGAGCUGCCCUCCACUAAAGGAAGACAUCAAGUCCUGGAGGCAAGGAAGGCCUGUAUUUAAAGAGGCACUGACUUUAGGCAGCUGUGACUCCUCUAUCCCUUUAUCCUCUAUAACAGAAACAACUCUCAAGAAAUUCUCCGAAAUGAAAAUAACCUCAGCUGAGGAACUUCAAUUUGGAGAGACUGGAUGUGUUCAGUUUAGGACAGAAAAUGUUAUGAGAUACCACAGAUCUAUGAACCCACAACUGGCUUGCAUGGGAUAAAAAGUAGCACGCUUUAACUUCUAAAUAUAUUCUUCAAAUACCAGGCCAAGUUCAAACAGAAACUAACAUGAGAUGGGGAAUUUAAUAUUAUUACCUAAUCCUGGAAAGUAAAAUGAAACAGACAACAAUAUUA
Molecule: long non-coding RNA, 1003 nt
Filed under: Homo sapiens (human)
Lineage: Eukaryota; Metazoa; Chordata; Mammalia; Primates; Hominidae
Description: HSALNT0029738
Source: RNAcentral